GUGCUCGCUGGGACAGCAGGUACACUGAAAUUGUAACAGGACAGACAUGAUUCACACAGCGCCUGCGCAAGGAUGACAUGCAAAUACAAAGUCUGAUUGCUUUU
Small nuclear RNA from Mustela putorius furo (domestic ferret), 104 nucleotides. NCBI's taxonomy places the organism in Eukaryota, Metazoa, Chordata, Mammalia, Carnivora, Mustelidae. The record is from Ensembl.